AUGCAUCUCAGGCAGACCUUAAACAGUUAAUGUCUGCUGUUAAGGUUUCCACCACAGAUGCAAGAAGAAGGUCCUUGUGCUUUCUGUCUGGUGUGGCAACCAAGAUUGAAUGAGGGAACACGGGG
Molecule: small nucleolar RNA, 125 nt
Filed under: Dasypus novemcinctus (nine-banded armadillo)
Lineage: Eukaryota; Metazoa; Chordata; Mammalia; Cingulata; Dasypodidae
Description: Small nucleolar RNA SNORA31 (ENSDNOG00000029572.1)
Rfam family: Small nucleolar RNA SNORA31
About the family: ACA31 (SNORA31) belongs to the H/ACA class of snoRNAs which are thought to guide the sites of modification of uridines to pseudouridines. ACA31 is predicted to guide the pseudouridylation of U3713 in 28S rRNA and U218 in 18S rRNA. This family includes the mouse homologue snoMBI-161.
Source: RNAcentral